CACAAAGGUACUCGACCAUUCUCUCUCCUUUUUUUUUUUUAACGGGUUUCUACAUUCUCCCCCUCCUUAAUAGAAUUCGUUCUCGAAUUCUUGGUUGCGCAGUUGCUCGUCUUCACAACAUUCUCCACUCAUCUCCAUAACCUCUUUACGCUGUCCACCACAGUUCCUUGAGUGUCCUCUUCAAGGCCUCCACACAAUUGUCUUCAUAUCUCUUCACUUGAAUGAUCACUGAGUCAUCCUCUUUCUUUUACUCUGCCAUAACACACUCAUUGCCCUGAUACGAUCUUGUCCAUGCUUGUUCCUGAUUACUCCAACCACUUUCUCGAUA
RNAcentral lists this long non-coding RNA (328 nucleotides) under Brassica napus (rape). Its description in RNAcentral is "long non-coding RNA (BNAP_LNC008487)". The record is from RNAcentral. Lineage: Eukaryota; Viridiplantae; Streptophyta; Magnoliopsida; Brassicales; Brassicaceae.